ACAGCUUCAUGUCUAUGAAGGUUACUAGCUGUAAGGACAAGUUACAUCCACAUGUAGUCUGGGAACUGCCAGUAUUUUGAUUAUUCUCGGUAUGACUGUGGCCCCAGGAGUCAAAGCAUACUGAUAACUGCAUCUAUAAAAAGGAGCUCUAAAGCUUGCUGCAUAGCACUGCAGCUGCCUGGAGAAUCAACAUUACCCAUGGAAACCUCUGCAGAAGGGUUUCUGCACCCAGCUGCCGUCCUCCAGCUGCGUCAGAAAAGAAGGCUCAAGGCUCCCCUGGGGUUCAAGCAGCUGAGGAGUUGAGGAUCAGAGUGUAUGAAUCACUAGGAAGAGAUGAUCCUCCUCCACUGUGAAAAUCUGACACUCACACCUUCACUCAAGAAAAAAAAAGGUGUUUUCUCUCUCCAGCUCCAGUGUCCAGCUCUGAAACCCACCCAAGUCUAGAACCUUCCAAGGUGCAACACAGAGUUGCUGAUCCAGAAGAAGCAAUGCUGGGAAGAUCUAGCGCUCCUCCUAGCCAGAAAGAUCCAGUCUCUGCUUGAAGGAACUGACUGUCUCUCGUGAAAUAUAUUACAUGUGGCUGCUCUGUCUCUCACAUGGCAUUUCUCUGCUUGUGUUACAAAAAGUAGAGGCGGGGGCUAUACAUUAAAGCAAGCAGAUCAUAAAGAUGAAGGUGUAAUCACAGUUUUACUUCACAUCUGAGUGCUCAGGGAAAGUAAGCAUGAAGGAGCUGCAAGUAGAACAAAAGCAAAUUCAGCCUUCCAUCUGGUAGAAAAAAAUCUGCUGGUGUAUUGAAAAUUGUUCAGAACAAUGCAAAAUUUCCCCCCUGCACAUUACAGGAUCAGUUAUUGCUCACAGCAAAGUUGCAAGUCUAGCAUCUCUAUGCAAGCUGACACUCAAAUGGCCAGAUACUAGGUAGAUGGAUGCCUUGCUGAGAACUUCCUCAGAUUCACCCAGUGCUUCAGAAAAGAAAAAAAAAGGAAAAAAAAAAAAAAGAAAAAAAAGAAAAAAAAAAGGAAAAGAAAAUAAAAGGGGAAAAAAAGAAAAAAAAUUAAGGGACUCUUAGAAGUCCUCUUCUGGGGAGGACUCAGCUUUCAAAGUGCACACAGUAUUCAUGAGCAUGACUGGGACUGGGACUUAUUCUUGUGGAAAAACACUGUAGUUCUUUUGAUUGCACUGGCUGUAUUUCAGAGUACUGCUGUCUGGUUACUACAAGGGGUGGCCAGAGUUCACAGUGUAUGUUCUAGCACCAAACAAAUGCAGGAUUAGUAAGGUGUUGUAUUCCUCACAGCAAUGAUAGUGUGUCCCUGACAAUACCUUUCAUAUUCCUAGGAGAGAAAGCUAAUGCUGGUCCUUGCAGUUAAAGUUGAUGUAGUCAUAAUAAGCAGUACUUAAAAACCUCACAUUGCUGUCAAGGGUCCUCACAAAGGGUCAUUUGUAAUGAAACACAAGACAACUCUGGUGGACUGAUUUCUGGGAAGAAAUAGCAAUUAGGUAACACUUACAUAAGAAUCAAUGUCUGGCUUUAGCUUUUCGGUUGUCUGAUUUGCUGCUCCAGCACCCUUUAGUACCUUUUGUAAAUACAUCCUCCUGUGCACUUAUUGGCAACUUGCACUCCCCUGACCCACAGAGCUACCUUCAGUUUUCUGAGUCCAGCCUGCAUUUAACAUUUCUUGCUAAGCAAUUUUGAAAACCAGUGGAGUAACAUCAAAUAAUAUUUGAGAAAUUUGCAGGAGAUGAUUGCAAGCAGCAAAGCUGUGAUUGCUGAAAUAUUGACAAUAAGGACAUGCAAGAUGCUUGUCUUGUCACUUCCAUUUUACCACUUACCUUUAAUUAAACUGAAAAACAAAGGCAUCUUGGUUCUCCUCCCUGAACAUACAUACUGCAAUACAGUAAUUGUGUUGGUGGUCUGUACUAUUAAAGAUGGGUAAAAAUGUUUAGAAGAGACAGAAUUUGUCUUUGACAAAUGUAAGGAGAGAUGAGGCAGGAUACUACAGAGAAUCACUGCAUCAGGGUUUUUGCAGCUCUAAUUUGAACAUGACUAUUUUUAGAAGACCUGUUGUGCAUACCAACAACACUAAUGAGACAACCAUAUUCCUAAAGCCAGUGACAUCACAUGCAGCUCUCAGGAUUUAACUAUAGCAUGUGUUUGGCAAAUAGUGAUAAAAGGUAUUUAAUUAUUUUUGUUUCCAUCAAGCUGAAUUAUGCUUUUAUUUUGCCUGUCUUUUCCUUUUAGUAGUCUUGAGAAUAAUUUUACAGCCUCUAGUUCCUACUAUUUAAUGGAGUGAAUGACUUUUCUACAAAAUUCAGAUGUUUUAUGAUGGAAGCCACGAUUUCCUGUUGCCUUUAUUUUAUUGCUAUUCUGUGAUCCUUCUAAGAUUUUGGGAAGUAAAUAACUCCUACACAGAAA
Molecule: long non-coding RNA, 2410 nt
Organism: Onychostruthus taczanowskii (white-rumped snowfinch)
Lineage: Eukaryota; Metazoa; Chordata; Aves; Passeriformes; Passeridae
Exons: 2
Source: RefSeq, a predicted model, not a curated record